This 255-nucleotide ribosomal RNA is filed under the name uncultured bacterium. Its description in RNAcentral is "partial 16S ribosomal RNA". It matches the Rfam family "Bacterial small subunit ribosomal RNA", at positions 524 to 776 of the family's 1533-position model. The record is from RNAcentral.
UACAGAGGUCUCAAGCGUUGUUCGGAUUCAUUGGGCGUAAAGGGCGCGUAGGCGGCUUGAUAAGGUUGCGGUGAAAGCCCGGGGCUCAACCCCGGGUCGGCCGUGGCAACUGUCGAGCUGGAGCACUGUAGAGGCAGGUGGAAUUCCGGGUGUAGCGGUGGAAUGCGUAGAGAUCCGGAAGAACACCGGUGGCGAAGGCGGCCUGCUGGGCAGUUUUGCUGACACUGAGGCGCGACAGCGUGGGGAGCAAACAGG